RNAcentral lists this small nuclear RNA (20 nucleotides) under Arabidopsis thaliana (thale cress). RNAcentral describes it as "snRNA_06737". The record is from RNAcentral. Lineage: Eukaryota; Viridiplantae; Streptophyta; Magnoliopsida; Brassicales; Brassicaceae.
GACACUUUGGUAGGUGUACA